This 236-nucleotide long non-coding RNA is filed under the name Phoenix dactylifera (date palm). RNAcentral's name for it is "long non-coding RNA (PDAC_LNC017699)". Lineage: Eukaryota; Viridiplantae; Streptophyta; Magnoliopsida; Arecales; Arecaceae. The record is from RNAcentral.
ACAGCUCAGUACUACAACGCCAGGGUCAAAGUCAAAUCUUUCAGACCAGGGGACCUUGUCCUAAGAAGAGCUGAAACCUCCCGACCAACUGAGCGAGGGAAGCUGGCCCCGAAUUGGGAAGGACCAUACCGAGUCACGCGCAUUCGCCGACCCGGAACUUAUCAAUUGGAGUCUCUAGAUGGGACUCCCAUUCCGCGGAGCUGGAGCUCUGAAAAUCUCCGCGUGUACCACCAGUA